RNAcentral lists this long non-coding RNA (1128 nucleotides) under Parus major (Great Tit). RNAcentral's name for it is "lncRNA (ENSPMJG00000008933.1)". The record is from RNAcentral. Lineage: Eukaryota; Metazoa; Chordata; Aves; Passeriformes; Paridae.
CCGAGCCGAGCCGAGCCGAGACGCGGGCGCCCUCUGGCGGCCGGCGGGUCCCUCCGCCUCGUCAGGGCCCAGCGGCUGCUCUGAGGUGCCGUGCCCGGAGGUUCCGCUGAAAAGAGCUGGGAGAAAAAACACUUUAUUCCAGCACUCCCAUGAACUGCUGUGUGCCCAACCUACUUUGAAGACCGCUGCUCCAUAGGCUGCAUGGAAAAAUCUGGUGGCCAGAGGACCAGAUUUUUCCACAGACUGUCAAGAGGGGAUGAGAAUUUUUAUCACAGGAUCUAGUCACAGUAUUGUGAAUUACAAGUUUACACACCUGAGGCAAUAUGCUGUCUAACUACAAAGGGGAAGCGUCCCAGAUGCCUGCUGGACUUGCAGCCUCCUGCACCCCAUAUGCACGUGUCUGGAUGUGCCUAGAAAAGCCUGUGGACAAAUGCAGACUGGAGAUUCACUGUCUUCAGAAUUCACUCAAGCAACAAUGACCAGGGUGGGCAUUUAUCGCUAUUCCGCCCCUAUGGAGUUCAGAGUCUUUGAAUCAAAGUUCAAGCUGGCUACAUGAUUUCAGAAAGGCUAAAACCAGGAUGAAUGCCCACAUUUGAGGUAAUUAUUGCCAUUAGGUCACAGUUUGCGUAAUGUAAGUGUAUUUAAAUCCUUCUUUUAAAAAAGCAAAAGUAUCCCACAGUACCAGGGGAUACCCAUUGGAGCAAUCAGAAUCCAGAAUCCUGAUCAGUGGGUUUGCUUCCAAAGGAGCCAGCGGUCCCGGAGCACAAGGCACUCCCAGAACAGCCGCCAAUCAGCCUAGAGCUCAGGCAAGCAAGCCUGCAACAAGCCUUUUUAAAUUUUUAAUUUAAUUUUUUUUAAAGAAAAGGAAAACAUAAGAAAAAAUGCCAUAAAAUAGACGGGUAACUUUUCUGAUCAGAAUUCCAGACUAAAGCUUUUCUAUCCGUCUUAUUCCUUUCCAAAGAGUUUGCUGAAAAAUCAAAAGACAUUGGCUUAAAUACUUAACUCUAUGCCAGCACUGCAAACUUGGCUAUGUUCUGAAAGUGGGAUAAGCUUUGCUUUUGCUGAGCAUUGUUGCCCCAUUGCUUUCUGUUUCAAAGAGGAAACCUUGUUUGAAAGAAAGAAAGAAAA